Molecule: ribosomal RNA, 550 nt
Filed under: uncultured bacterium
Lineage: Bacteria
Description: bacterial SSU rRNA
Rfam family: Bacterial small subunit ribosomal RNA
Source: RNAcentral
UAGGGAAUCUUCCGCAAUGGGCGAAAGCCUGACGGAGCAACGCCGCGUGAGUGAUGAAGGUCUUCGGAUCGUAAAACUCUGUUAUUAGGGAAGAACAUAUGUGUAAGUAACUGUGCACAUCUUGACGGUACCUAAUCAGAAAGCCACGGCUAACUACGUGCCAGCAGCCGCGGUAAUACGUAGGUGGCAAGCGUUAUCCGGAAUUAUUGGGCGUAAAGCGCGCGUAGGCGGUUUUUUAAGUCUGAUGUGAAAGCCCACGGCUCAACCGUGGAGGGUCAUUGGAAACUGGAAAACUUGAGUGCAGAAGAGGAAAGUGGAAUUCCAUGUGUAGCGGUGAAAUGCGUAGAUAUAUGGAGGAACACCGGUGGCGAAAGCGGCUCUCUGGCUUGUAACUGACGCUGAGGCUCGAAAGCGUGGGGAGCAAACAGGAUUAGAUACCCUGGUAGUCCACGCCGUAAACGAUGAGUGCUAGGUGUUAGACCCUUUCCGGGGUUUAGUGUCGCAGCUAACGCAUUAAGCACUCCGCCUGGGGAGUACGACCGCAAGGUUG